GAAAUCACGCACUCGAGGCUUUUU
Molecule: non-coding RNA, 24 nt
Filed under: Arabidopsis thaliana (thale cress)
Lineage: Eukaryota; Viridiplantae; Streptophyta; Magnoliopsida; Brassicales; Brassicaceae
Source: RNAcentral